This 384-nucleotide RNase P RNA is filed under the name Tersicoccus sp. Bi-70. Its description in RNAcentral is "RNase P RNA component class A". It matches the Rfam family "Bacterial RNase P class A". From Rfam's summary of the family: Ribonuclease P (RNase P) is a ubiquitous endoribonuclease, found in archaea, bacteria and eukarya as well as chloroplasts and mitochondria. Its best characterised activity is the generation of mature 5'-ends of tRNAs by cleaving the 5'-leader elements of precursor-tRNAs. Lineage: Bacteria; Bacillati; Actinomycetota; Actinomycetes; Micrococcales; Micrococcaceae. The record is from RNAcentral.
UGGGACGGCCGGGCGGCCGCGUCCGGUACGCGAGUACCGGCCGAGGAACGUCCGGGCUCCGCAGGGCACGGUGGUGGGUAACGCCCACUCGGGGAGACCCGCAGGACAGUGCCACAGAGAACAGACCGCCCGCACGUCGUUCGCCGGCGAGCGGGUAAGGGUGAAACGGCGGUGUAAGAGACCACCGCACCCCGGGUGACCGGGGUGGCAGGGUAAACCCCACCGGGAGCAAGGCCAGACAGGGCACGUUCGAGGGCUGCUCGCCCGAGUGUCCGGGUAGGCCGCUCGAGGGUGUCGGCAACGGCACUCCUAGAUGGAUGGUCGCCACCCGCGCACGGGUGACCGGCGCGGGCACAGAACCCGGCGUACAGGCCGUCCCGUCCA